GAGCGAAAUAUCCGCUAUUUCUCUCUCCCAUUUACCCCAAAUCGACGAAAACCUUAUUUCCCACUUUUGCUCUCUAUAUUCAAUCUUAGUUUGUGGCGAUUCCUUAUCCACUAAAGAUGGAGACCUCAAUCCAUCGCGAAAAAGUGGAAGACGAAGCUUAUAUCAACGGUUGGCGACUGGAAUUGUGGUGUAAACGUGAAUUUGUUCAAAACUACGCCGAGUGUCGUAGGCUAGAAACUUUCAGUUCAAGGCUCCAUUUUCGAUCAGUUAAGUUCUAUACGAUGGAAAAAGGGAAGAACAUAGUCAAAAGAGGGGACCCUUCAAGACCAAUUCAAACCCCAUAGAUGGAUGAAGUAGAGAUGGAGGAAGAUGAUGCAGGGGACAGGGUUCGGCCAAAAAAGAGGGAAGAUAUACUGUAUUUUAGGAGAACAUCAAAGGAAUAUGUGGACAUGAUUGCAAAGCUAUAUCCCCAACAGGUUGAAGUUGUCCAUGAGCUCGGGCUUGGAGGUAUUUAAAACUACAAAAUACCAGAGAUACCUGGAGAAAUUGCCCUUUGGAUACUUUCUGUAUUCAACAUGAAGCGGUGCAGGAUACAAUUUUUAGAAAAUGAGUUUGUUCGUAUUACAGGGGAUGAUGUGCAUCUUACGUUCGGCUUUCUAAAGGGCAAUGACCUGAUGGACUGAAGAACUAAAUAGACAGAUUUCACAUUCUAGGAAGAAAUAGCGAGGCGGCUAAAUAAUGUAUUCUUGAUUUAUGAAUAAUGUAACAUAUUAAGUUGUUUUUUUGGCAUUAUUUGCA
Salvia splendens (bonfire salvia) is the source of this 798-nucleotide long non-coding RNA. RefSeq lists it as uncharacterized. Lineage: Eukaryota; Viridiplantae; Streptophyta; Magnoliopsida; Lamiales; Lamiaceae. The record is from RefSeq and is a predicted model, not a curated record. The transcript has 3 exons.